UACGUAGGGGGCAAGCGUUGUCCGGAUUUAUUGGGUUUAAAGGGUGCGUAGGCGGUUCCUUAAGUCAGUUGUGAAAUACGGCAGCUUAACUGUCGAGGUGCAAUUGAUACUGGGGAACUAGAGUACUGAUGAGGUAUGCGGAAUGGACGGUGUAGCGGUGAAAUGCUUAGAUAUCGUCCAGAACACCGAUAGCGAAGGCAGCAUACUAAGGAGUAACUGACGCUGAGGCACGAAAGUGUGGGGAUCAAACAGG
RNAcentral lists this ribosomal RNA (253 nucleotides) under uncultured bacterium. RNAcentral's name for it is "partial 16S ribosomal RNA". It matches the Rfam family "Bacterial small subunit ribosomal RNA", at positions 524 to 776 of the family's 1533-position model. The record is from RNAcentral.